This is a long non-coding RNA of Cebus imitator (Panamanian white-faced capuchin), 300 nucleotides long. RefSeq lists it as uncharacterized. The transcript has 3 exons. Lineage: Eukaryota; Metazoa; Chordata; Mammalia; Primates; Cebidae. The record is from RefSeq and is a predicted model, not a curated record.
GUUGUUUUAGUCCCAUCCCCAUCCCAGUGGAAGAACCGCUUACCUCGAAGUCUUUGUCAGUGAGAUAGAUCUCAAGCUUCAGAGGAUCGACCCCCUCCGGGAGCGGCCUGGCCAGGAGGUCGGCCAGCGGGGAAACAUAUUGGUGAAUGUCAGAGGCUCCAGACCAGCAUGGAUAAGGUGCGUUAGAGGGAGCCUCACCUUUGCAGUACUGGAGCACGGUCUCCAUCGCGCUCUUCCGGUCGGAGGCCCAGCGGAUGCGGGCAGAACCAGGGAUCUUGUUCUCGAUGGGCCACCAGCCUU